ACGGAGGCGCUCAAAGGUUGGCUCAGCACGGACGGAAAUCGUGCAGUGAGUGUAAACGUAUAAGCCAGCCUAACUGCGAGACCGACGGGUCGAGCAGUAACGAAAGUUGGAGUUAGUGAUCCGGUGGUAUGUGAGUGGAAAUGCCAUCGCUCAACGGAUAAAAGCUACCCUGGGGAUAACAGGCUGAUCUCCCCCAAGCGUCCACAGCGACGGGGAGGUUUGGCACCUCGAUGUCGGCUCGUCACAUCCUGGGGCUGUAUUCGGUCCCAAGGGUUCGGCUGUUCGCCGAUUAAAGUGGCACGCGAGCUGGGUUCAGAACGUCGUGAGACAGUUCGGUCCCUAUCUGUUGCGGGCGUAAGAGAUUUGAAGGGGGCUGUCCUUAGUACGAGAGGACCGGGAUGGACGCACCUCUGGUGCACCUGUUGUCGUGCCAACGGCACAGCAGGGUAGCUACGUGCGGACGAGAUAAACGCUGAAAGCAUCUAAGCGUGAAACUUUCCCUAAGAUAAGAUCUCUCAUCCGUUAAGGAGUAAGGCACGAUAUAGACGAUGUCGUAGAUAGGCCGGAGGUGGAAGUGCAGUAAUGUAUGGAGCUGACCGGUACUAAUCAGCCGAGGGCUUGACCU
Molecule: ribosomal RNA, 625 nt
Filed under: human gut metagenome
Description: bacterial LSU rRNA
Rfam family: Bacterial large subunit ribosomal RNA
Source: RNAcentral